CUGAUGCGCCAUGCCGCGUGUAUGAAGAAGGCCUUCGGGUUGUAAAGUACUUUCAGUUGUGAGGAAGGGGGUGUCGUUAAUAGCGGCAUCUCUUGACGUUAGCAACAGAAGAAGCACCGGCUAACUCCGUGCCAGCAGCCGCGGUAAUACGGAGGGUGCGAGCGUUAAUCGGAAUUACUGGGCGUAAAGCGCAUGCAGGUGGUUCAUUAAGUCAGAUGUGAAAGCCCGGGGCUCAACCUCGGAACUGCAUUUGAAACUGGUGAACUAGAGUACUGUAGAGGGGGGUAGAAUUUCAGGUGUAGCGGUGAAAUGCGUAGAGAUCUGAAGGAAUACCAGUGGCGAAGGCGGCCCCCUGGACAGAUACUGACACUCAGAUGCGAAAGCGUGGGGAGCAAACAGGAUUAGAUACCCUGGUAGUCCACGCCGUAAACGAUGUCUACUUGGAGGUUGUGGCCUUGAGCCGUGGCUUUCGGAGCUAACGCGUUAAGUAGACCGCCUGGGGAGUACGGUCGCAAGAUUAAAACUCAAAUGAAUUGACGGGGGCCCGCACAAGCGGUGGAGCAUGUGGUUUAAUUCGAUGCAACGCGAAGAACCUUACCUACUCUUGACAUCCAGAGAAGCCAGCGGAGACGCAGGUGUGCCUUCGGGAGCUCUGAGACAGGUGCUGCAUGGCUGUCGUCAGCUCGUGUUGUGAAAUGUUGGGUUAAGUCCCGCAACGAGCGCAACCCUUAUCCUUGUUUGCCAGCGAGUAAUGUCGGGAACUCCAGGGAGACUGCCGGUGAUAAACCGGAGGAAGGUGGGGACGACGUCAAGUCAUCAUGGCCCUUACGAGUAGGGCUACACACGUGCUACAAUGGCGCAUACAGAGGGCUGCAAACUUGCGAGAGUGAGCGAAUCCCAAAAAGUGCGUCGUAGUCCGGAUUGGAGUCUGCAACUCGACUCCAUGAAGUCGGAAUCGCUAGUAAUCGUAGAUCAGAAUGCUACGGUGAAUACGUUCCCGGGCCUUGUACACACCGCCCGUCACACCAUGGGAGUGGGCUGCAAAAGAAGUGGGUAGUUUAACCUUCGGGAGGACGCUCACCCCUUUGUGGGUCAUGACGGGGUGGACGC
RNAcentral lists this ribosomal RNA (1110 nucleotides) under Vibrio sp. 8021M. Its description in RNAcentral is "bacterial SSU rRNA". It matches the Rfam family "Bacterial small subunit ribosomal RNA", at positions 383 to 1487 of the family's 1533-position model. The record is from RNAcentral. Lineage: Bacteria; Pseudomonadati; Pseudomonadota; Gammaproteobacteria; Vibrionales; Vibrionaceae.